Molecule: ribosomal RNA, 253 nt
Filed under: uncultured bacterium
Lineage: Bacteria
Description: partial 16S ribosomal RNA
Rfam family: Bacterial small subunit ribosomal RNA
Source: RNAcentral
UACGGAGGGGGCUAGCGUUGUUCGGAAUUACUGGGCGUAAAGCGCGCGUAGGCGGACCUGCAAGUCGGGGGUGAAAGCCCGAGGCUCAACCUCGGAACUGCCUUCGAUACUGCGGGUCUCGAGUCCGGGAGAGGUGAGUGGAAUUCCUAGUGUAGAGGUGAAAUCCGUAGAUAUUAGGAAGAACACCAGUGGCGAAGGCGGCUCACUGGCUCGGUACUGACGCUGAGGCGCGAAAGCGUGGGGAGCAAACAGG